Centruroides sculpturatus (bark scorpion) is the source of this 726-nucleotide long non-coding RNA. RefSeq lists it as uncharacterized. Lineage: Eukaryota; Metazoa; Arthropoda; Arachnida; Scorpiones; Buthidae. The record is from RefSeq and is a predicted model, not a curated record. The transcript is spliced from 4 exons.
UCGAUUGCAGACAUGUAAGUUAAGAUUUUGAUACAAAACACUAGUAAUAAUAGAUAAUAGAUUAAACAGCUAUUUCAAUUUUUUUUAUAUUAUUAUUAUUAGAGGCAGAAUGCAAACUACUAAAUAACGUCUAAGAAUUCUGUUGCACAUAUGCGCAAGUACUGUACGAGAGUUGAUUUAUUUGCUGUGAUUAUAGUGUCGUAACUUACUAAUUUUAAAAUAAAACGAACGCAUGAUGAUCACAAUCCUUCGAUGUAUUCUCCACCUUUGUGCGCAAUUCGCUGUCAAACUACUGGGAGGCGACGAAUACCGUCAGCAGCGUCAAUUUUAGCCAGUAUCUGGAGAUGUUGCCUCUAAAAAGUUCUUUCACUUUCGGUAAAAGUCUACACGUGGACUCGUAUUAGAGCCGUAACAAAGUUUAAUAGAAGAUUCUUCAUACAAUUUGUUAAGGAAUUGAAAACACGGGAUUUUAAGAUAGAAGAGAUGUAUUUCGCAAAAGAACUGCUAUCAAGAACUCAAGCCAUCACGUAAUCUGUAACAGCAAGCAGUAAAGAGGAAAUUAUUUAUUAACUUAAAAGAAGAAAUGUGAAUCAUCUAAAGAGAAAAACAGAAUAAAGAACUGAAAAUUUAAAUUUAUGUAUUAAGCAUCAAAAUCAUUUAAUUAUCAACAAUAAUUAUUUUUGUUUCAAAGUUUCUGAAAAUAUAUAAAUUAUUUUCAUAGCAUAU